GACGAACGCUGGCGGCGUGCUUAACACAUGCAAGUCGAACGUAAAGGCCCUGCUUUUGUGGGGUGCUCGAGUGGCGAACGGGUGAGUAACACGUGAGUAACCUGCCCUUGACUUUGGGAUAACUUCAGGAAACUGGGGCUAAUACCGGAUAGGAGCUCCUGCUGCAUGGUGGGGGUUGGAAAGUUUCGGCGGUUGGGGAUGGACUCGCGGCUUAUCAGCUUGUUGGUGGGGUAGUGGCUUACCAAGGCUUUGACGGGUAGCCGGCCUGAGAGGGUGACCGGCCACAUUGGGACUGAGAUACGGCCCAGACUCCUACGGGAGGCAGCAGUGGGGAAUAUUGCACAAUGGGCGGAAGCCUGAUGCAGCAACGCCGCGUGCGGGAUGACGGCCUUCGGGUUGUAAACCGCUUUCGCCUGUGACGAAGCGUGAGUGACGGUAAUGGGUAAAGAAGCACCGGCUAACUACGUG
This 468-nucleotide ribosomal RNA is filed under the name uncultured bacterium. Its description in RNAcentral is "partial 16S ribosomal RNA". It matches the Rfam family "Bacterial small subunit ribosomal RNA", at positions 28 to 507 of the family's 1533-position model. The record is from RNAcentral.